This 1997-nucleotide ribosomal RNA is filed under the name Strigamia acuminata. Its description in RNAcentral is "partial 28S ribosomal RNA". It matches the Rfam family "Eukaryotic large subunit ribosomal RNA", at positions 76 to 1117 of the family's 3401-position model. Lineage: Eukaryota; Metazoa; Arthropoda; Chilopoda; Geophilomorpha; Linotaeniidae. The record is from RNAcentral.
UCCCCCAGUAACUGCGAGUGAAAAGGGAAGAGCCCAGCGCCGAAGCCGCCGUCCAUUAAAGUGGGCGGAGGGCAAUGUGGCGUUAAGGAAGAGCCUCCUUGACCUGACGUUUCGUUGUUCGGACCGCGGGAGCCCGAGUCCCCCUGACCGGGGCCACGGCCCAUGGCGGGUGCAAGGCCUCUUCGGCUCCGUUCGACGGUUCGAAGGUUGCUGGCUUCUUUCCUCAGAGUCGGGUUGCUUGAGAGUGCAGCCCUAAGCGGGUGGUAAACUCCACCUAAGGCUAAAUAUCACCACGAGACCGAUAGCGAACAAGUACCGUGAGGGAAAGUUGCAAAGAACUUUGAAGAGAGAGUUCAAGAGUACGUGAAACCGCUCGGAGGCAAACGGGUGGGCCCUCGAAGGUCGAACGGGGGGAUUCAGCCUGUCGGCGAGCGCUUCCUGAAAAAUGAAAGAACCGUCGAAAAGCAUUCGCGUGCGAAACGGAUCCGAAAUCAAAGCGGACCGGGCGGCAGGAAAUGAAAUAGAGAAAAAGCGUUCGUCGGCUCGUGCACUUCCCCCUCAGUAGGACGCCGCGACCGGUCGGGUGCAAAAACGUCGCCAAAAGCGGCUUGCGGCCAUGAGGCGAGAACGUAUCGCGGGGGCAGGUGUCCGUUUCCUCGGGUUUCGGCUUGUCGGCUCUCACGGGCCGGCUCGCAGUCUCUCGGGUUCGGAGUUAUAGCCCCUUCUCGACCCGUGCACCGCCACCCGACCGACAAAUGGUCACGAAAUCCGUAGACGCGUGCCCGCGACGCGGUGCCGCUUCGGCGGUUGCCGCGUGCGCUCGCCCUAAUCCAGGGCAGGCAGGAUGCGUGAGUAAAAAUCCCACCUAAACCCGUUUAAAACGCGGGCAGGGGAUCCGACGGGCGCCGAAAGCAAAAAACCGAAAAGGCGGUCGUCGGCUCCGCGUCUGCCGUUACGCCCACGUGGAGUUGGAAUCUGGCGUAGAGGCAAAAAUUAAAAAAAAACGCUUGCGGUCGGCGGCGAGUAGNNNNNNNNNNNNNNNNNNNNNNNNNNNNNNNNNNNNNNNNNNNNNNGUCGUAGGGUCUGCUUUUGAAAACGAGCUAAACCCGAUGGCGAAAUGAAAGUAAAGGCCGGCCCCUCGUCGAGUCUCUCUUCCUCUCUUUUUUUCCGCUCUCCCUUCGCGGGGUCUGUUGGGGGAAGGAGCAAGGGGUCUGACGAGGCGGGGGGAAUGUGAACGGCCGAGGCGAGAUCCUAAAUGAGCCCGUCGCUUCGGCGGCGCGGCGAAAUUUGCAAAAGAAACCGGACAUUGUAGGCACGCUCGGUUAUGCGGCGGAGGUCUGGUUGGCAACAGCCUCUCUUCCUCGCUGCCGCGGCGGUCCGGAGGCGCAUCGCCGGCCCGUCUCGAUCGCAUCCGAUCGGCUUCUUCCUUUUGUCUCACGGCGCUUUUCUUCUCGUUGCGCUGCGGCGUGCUCUCGCUCUCGGGCGGAAGCGUGUCGUCGUCGCGCGGGUCGGAUCGUGCACGCGCAGCGAUCGGGGAGCCGAGAAGAACUUUUAGUCGACGAGGCGGAGCAAGAGCACACACGUUGGGACCCGAAAGAUGGUGAACUAUGCCCGGGCAGGACGAAGCCAGAGGAAACUCUGGUGGAGGUCCGCAGCGAUUCUGACGUGCAAAUCGAUCGUCGGACCUGGGUAUAGGGGCGAAAGACUAAUCGAACCGUCUAGUAGCUGGUUCCCUCCGAAGUUUCCCUCAGGAUAGCUGGCACUCGGGAAAAAAAUAAAGAAAUAAUAAUGAAUGAAACAGUCUCAUCCGGUAAAGCGAAUGAUUAGAGGCAUUGGGGCCGAAACGGCCUCAACCUAUUCUCAAACUUUCAAUGGGUGAGAUGUCCGGCUUGCUUAACGUGAUAAAAAAGACGGGGGGGCCGGCGGGCUAGUUCGAUUCGUUUUCUGAACGGAGAGGAUCCCGCCGGUCUAGCCUUGAGCACGGACGUAGGAUGCGA